RNAcentral lists this long non-coding RNA (204 nucleotides) under Lathyrus oleraceus (garden pea). RNAcentral describes it as "Pisum sativum (pea) long non-coding RNA (PSAT_LNC033116)". The record is from RNAcentral. Lineage: Eukaryota; Viridiplantae; Streptophyta; Magnoliopsida; Fabales; Fabaceae.
AAAUAAAAAAAAAUAAAAAAAAUAAUAAUAAAAAAAAAUAAAAAUAAAAAAAUGAAAAAACGAAGAAAAAAAAAACGAAAAAAAAAAGAAAAACGAAAAAAAAUAAAUAAAUAAAAUAUAACAAAAAAUUUUUUGGACUUGGGCCUCUCUCAUUUGAGCCCACAGGUCCACAAAAACCAGGUUAUAAAUUCAGAGUUUCAGUGA